UUGGUGAUGCUAUGCUACUAGUGACUUGAGAUGGUUAUACUCUCUUUUCCUACAUGUGUGUGUGUGUGUUUUAAUCUAUUUUUUGGAGCUCAUUUAAAAAUGGUGUGGAUCAGGUUUCAAACAGAAAUUAUUAGGUGAUGUGAAUCUCAAUGAUUUUAUAUUAAGUUAUUUCAUGAUUUUGUUUCCUCUCAAAGACACUUUUUUCUUUUCUCUUUUUUUUCUUUUCUUUUUUUUCUUUUUUAAUGUUUGGAUAACAUCAUUUAUGUGCUUACAUUUUUCUGGAUGAAUAUAUAAAUGAUGAUCGAAAUUAGUUUAAUUGAAGUAACAUAUUUUAAUUAAGACGAAAGGUUGCAUAAGAAAAAUAAAAUGUGACCACAUGUGUGAUGUCUGUGUAUUUAUUAUGUGUGUGUAGUGUAUUAUAAAAGUAAAAGAAAAAUAAUUUAAUGGUGGGGCCCACAAGGCACUUUAGAAAAGGGUCAAGACCAUAAAGUUGGUCUCAUUUUCCUGAUUCCCUUUCUCUCUCUUCGUGCAUCUCUCUCUCAACCCGUUCCGUUUGAGGCAAAACGAAGCUCGUGUCAAGCUCUAUACAUCCAUACCAUCAAUUUCCAGUUUUGAGUCUUCCUUGGAGCUCGAAUUUGAGGACCCAUUUUCUAGGGUUUUGGUGCAAUCUUGAGGUCUUGGAAAAGAACCGGUGGACGACAAUCCACCCCAACUUUGAAAGUUGCUAGAGGAGCAUUUUCCUUGUUAUUUUGUAAUAGACUGCUCCUUUGUUCAUCCCUCAUUUUUUGUAAAAUUCCAAAGGUGUAAUGAUGUAAAUUUCUUUUGAAGAACCAUGAUCAUGUAGUACACUUAUGAUACUUGAUGACAUAUGGGAUGCGAACUUGAUGAUAUGUAACUUGUUGAUGAAUGGAAGGAUAAUCCUAGCUUGAAGCAUUGUCUAGAUUAGUAGGUUGUAUCAUUAUCUUUUGUUGCCGUGAAUUCGGAAAUUAGU
This is a long non-coding RNA of Cornus florida, 991 nucleotides long. RefSeq lists it as uncharacterized. The record is from RefSeq and is a predicted model, not a curated record. NCBI's taxonomy places the organism in Eukaryota, Viridiplantae, Streptophyta, Magnoliopsida, Cornales, Cornaceae. The transcript has 3 exons.